This 243-nucleotide ribosomal RNA is filed under the name uncultured Oscillospiraceae bacterium. Its description in RNAcentral is "partial 16S ribosomal RNA". It matches the Rfam family "Bacterial small subunit ribosomal RNA", at positions 1139 to 1382 of the family's 1533-position model. Lineage: Bacteria; Bacillati; Bacillota; Clostridia; Eubacteriales; Oscillospiraceae. The record is from RNAcentral.
UCUAGCCAGACUGCCGGUGAUAAAUCGGAGGAAGGUGGGGACGACGUCAAAUCAUCAUGCCCUUUAUGUCCUGGGCUACACACGUACUACAAUGGCCGUUACAACGGGAAGCGAAGGAGCAAUCCGGAGCAAUCCCUUAAAGGCGGUCCCAGUUCAGAUUGUGGGCUGAAACUCGCCCACAUGAAGGCGGAAUUGCUAGUAAUUGCAGAUCAGCAUGCUGCAGUGAAUACGUUCCCGGGCCUU